UGUCUAACCUCAAUCAAACCCAAAUCACUCCAAUACAAAAAAAACCAACAAACACAAUAAAUAACAUUUUUUCAAUCGGGCAAACACAAUAACGAUUCAAACAUGCAAAGUAACAACAAAAUUUUCGACAAGGUAUGGAAGAAAACCAACCUACGGGAAUGUGGCUUCUCGUGGUAUGUAAAAGAGUAAAUUUAUCUUAUGUAACUCUUUU
This 211-nucleotide long non-coding RNA is filed under the name Lathyrus oleraceus (garden pea). Its description in RNAcentral is "Pisum sativum (pea) long non-coding RNA (PSAT_LNC028828)". The record is from RNAcentral. Lineage: Eukaryota; Viridiplantae; Streptophyta; Magnoliopsida; Fabales; Fabaceae.